RNAcentral lists this ribosomal RNA (253 nucleotides) under uncultured bacterium. RNAcentral describes it as "partial 16S ribosomal RNA". It matches the Rfam family "Bacterial small subunit ribosomal RNA", at positions 524 to 776 of the family's 1533-position model. The record is from RNAcentral.
UACGGGGGGUGCGAGCGUUGUCCGGAAUCAUUGGGCGUAAAGAGCGUGUAGGCGGCUCGGUAAGUCCGCUGUGAAAGUCCAGGGCUCAACCCUGGAAUGCCGGUGGAAACUGUCGAGCUAGAGUCCGGAAGAGGCGAGUGGAAUUCCUGGUGUAGCGGUGAAAUGCGCAGAUAUCAGGAGGAACACCAAUGGCGAAGGCAGCUCGCUGGGACGGUACUGACGCUGAGACGCGAAAGCGUGGGGAGCAAACAGG